AAGGGCCUACGGGGCGCAGCAGUGAGGAAUAUUGGUCAAUGGCCGAGAGGCUGAACCAGCCACGUCGCGUGAGGGAUGACGGCCCUACGGGUUGUAAACCUCUUUUGUCGGGGAGCAAGACCCGCCUCGUGCAGGCGGAGCGAGAGUACCCGGAGAAAAAGCAUCGGCUAACUCCGUGCCAGCAGCCGCGGUAAUACGGAGGAUGCGAGCGUUAUCCGGAUUUAUUGGGUUUAAAGGGUGCGCAGGCGGACCAUCAAG
Molecule: ribosomal RNA, 258 nt
Filed under: uncultured bacterium
Lineage: Bacteria
Description: partial 16S ribosomal RNA
Rfam family: Bacterial small subunit ribosomal RNA
Source: RNAcentral